RNAcentral lists this ribosomal RNA (478 nucleotides) under uncultured bacterium. RNAcentral describes it as "partial 16S ribosomal RNA". It matches the Rfam family "Bacterial small subunit ribosomal RNA", at positions 28 to 523 of the family's 1533-position model. The record is from RNAcentral.
GACGAACGCUGGCGGCGUGCUUAACACAUGCAAGUCGAACGGUAAGGCCCCUCGGGGUACACGAGUGGCGAACGGGUGAGUAACACGUGGGUGAUCUGCCCUGCACUUCGGGAUAAGCUUGGGAAACUGGGUCUAAUACCGGAUAGGACCACUGCCUGCAUGGGUGGUGGUGGAAAGCUUUUGCGGUGUGGGAUGGGCCCGCGGCCUAUCAGCCUGUUGGUGGGGUGAUGGCCUACCAAGGCGACGACGGGUAGCCGGCCUGAGGGGGUGACCGGCCACACUGGGACUGAGAUACGGCCCAGACUCCUACGGGAGGCAGCAGUGGGGAAUAUUGCACAAUGGGCGCAAGCCUGAUGCAGCGACGCCGCGUGAGGGAUGACGGCCUUCGGGUUGUAAACCUCUUUCAGCACCGACGAAGCGCAAGUGACGGUAGGUGCAGAAGAAGGACCGGCCAACUACGUGCCAGCAGCCGCUGUAA